Neofelis nebulosa (Clouded leopard) is the source of this 1375-nucleotide long non-coding RNA. RefSeq lists it as uncharacterized. NCBI's taxonomy places the organism in Eukaryota, Metazoa, Chordata, Mammalia, Carnivora, Felidae. The transcript is spliced from 3 exons. The record is from RefSeq and is a predicted model, not a curated record.
AACGACAAGGCUCCAACAGGGCUCUUUCGCGGGGUGUUAGCACACAGGUGAUCUGUGUCCGUCUGGAGGAUGAUGAUGAUUCCAGCACCAGUACGAGCCUGGGCUCACCAUUGGAUGAUUUGGGACAGGAUUUUCCUACUCCGGGGCCAUUUCCAGGCCAUUCUCCGGAAAUGAGAGUUCUGAGCUAAGUAGAGGUGACUACCCUAGAUUCUUCCUUUCUUCCCGUUACCACAGAAUUGUCUCCGGGAAGAGGUUGAUCAGGCAAAGACUACAUUUCCCAGCACCCCUGGCAUCCGGGUCGGGUCACGUGACUCGCUCUGGCCCAUGCACUAUGGGAGGAAGUGGUGUGCAUCACUUCAAGACCCGCAUGGUUAACAAGUGCCUGUAUUUACUCAUCCCUUGUUUCCCCAUCUGCCAGCCGAACGGAUGGGACGCCCAGCCACAUGCUGAAGAAGACGAGGGGACUGAGACUCAAAAACGUUCAAAGAGCUGCCCAGAGUCAUCAGCGGGGAGGUGCAAGUAGCCAGGUGAGAAGCCGGAGUCCACAUCCUAAACCGCUGUGCUCCCUGGCCUUCCAGAACCCACGCAGCUUUCCCGCUCCAUGGACUUGAUCUGGAGGUCAACGGGAACAAGCGAAUGGUGAAGAUGGACGGGCGAGAAUACUACUCGUGAUUCGGCUCAGUGUUGCCAAAGGGAAAUAUUGGAAACAUCUAAAAUGUUCAGCGUCAGGGCCUGUGUUAAAUAAACAGGUACACAGGUGUAAGGGAGUACUAUGCAGUCGUUAAAAAGAACGCCCAGGAGCCAUUUGGGCCGCCACAGAACAAUCCAGAAGAAAAAGCUGCCUGCGGGACAAUGUGCCUCCUGUUCUCCCAUUCCAAAACAAAAGGACGGUUACCGUCACAGCCAGCAUGUUCUGAGAGCGUAAAAUACUCUAUUUCGGGGGAUCCCAUUCAUGGCCUCACUCAACCCCUGCCAAAAUCCUAUGAUGUAAGAGCUGUUACCUUAUAGAGGAGGAAACAGAAGCUCAGAGAAGUUCAGUAACGCGUGGCCCAGGGUCACGUCCUUCGUGAGGGGCGGGGCUGGGAUUCACACCCAGGAAGUCUGAAAGCCACGGCUAACCAUGAAGGUACACAGCCUCCCCAGACACAAACGAGCAUCGUGGCUGACAGGACAUUUCCAUUUCUUCGAAAUGGGGAGAGUGGGAGGUGCAGGGCGUGCGGGAGGUUGCUGGAAAUCAAGGGGAUCAAGUGUUAACAGCCAUAUAGAGGCAGGAAGCAAAGCCUAUAGCUUUCAAAACAUAAACUAUUGGGAGCAAGACCUCCUACCUAAAACCAGGACCCCCAAAGGGCAAGAGACUUGAAGAAAUAAUGGAAGU